Molecule: long non-coding RNA, 1184 nt
Organism: Neoarius graeffei (lesser salmon catfish)
Lineage: Eukaryota; Metazoa; Chordata; Actinopteri; Siluriformes; Ariidae
Exons: 6
Source: RefSeq, a predicted model, not a curated record
UUAGUUUUGCCCCACAGACCGUUUCUUCUUUGUUUCUCGUCUGAUAGUUCAACAAUGAUUGGGUUUGAAAUUCUGCAUGUGUCCCUCUGUCUCAUGGGUUUGCUCUCAGAGACUCUGUGCUCUUUAACUGUGGAGGUGGAAGCUGGAGAUAACGCCACUGUUUGGUGCCAACAUGAGCUGAGUGAUACAGGUUACAUCUACUGGUAUAAACAUAUAAAUGAUUCAGUUCGACAUCUUCUUGGCUCAAGAACACGUCUCUCACCAUCACCGCAGUAAAUGUCUCUGAUACAGGACUGUAUUACUGCAGCUUCAUAUAUCUGGACCAAGUGAACUUUAGGAACUCGACCUUUUUACAAGUGAAAGACAGAAAUAAAACACUUCCUGAGAACCCGGACAGAGCGAAAGGUUCAGUCUCUUCUCCUGUGUUCUUCAUACUGAAUGUGGUGUUCGGUGCAGUGAUUGUGAUUCUUCUCAGUGUCCUGAUCUUCAUCAUACUGAAGCACAGAGAAACACACAGAGGUGCUGGAGCAGAAGAUAACGAGGUAAAUGUGACACUACAAUCAUUAAAACUAAUCAAUACACUGAUCUGAUUUAUUAACCUUGAUUUAAACUGAAACAGAAAUCAACACGUUUGGUUUUUUUUGAGCUGGUGGAAAUUUUUUAUCCUCUCAAUAAAAAUAUUUUAUUUACGUUAUUUUAUUAUUUUCUUAAAAUAUAUAGUGUAUAACACGUAUAGAGUAUACACAUAUACUGUAAAUUAAACUAAAAAAAGACAAAGGGUUUUAUUGAAGAUUAAAUAAUGAUGAUUUAAAACUGUAUCUCUUUGAUAACUUCUGAGCAGAUUGAGUUUGAGCUCUCAGGUUGUAAUGUGUGGUUUCUGUAGCCGAGGCAGUCUGCUCCUCUUGUUCUUGUUGUUUCUGCUUGAACUCGACGCUGCUGUCUUCAACUCAGACCUGGAAACUGAGAGGCUCAAAAUAUUUCACUGCUCUCUUGUUGCAGGACACGUCACAUUUCAUUUUUACCAUUUGAGGAUAUUUUAGAAACAUUUUUGUUUUAAAUCAAAAUGUUUGAGUGCAGCUGAAAACAAAAAGUAAAAUUCAGCAGAAAAUAUAUAGUUAAAUAGAACUUAGUGAUAUUUUGUCAAUAAUAGAAUCAGUUCAUGCUUCAUGAAAAUGUGCUCAUUC